RNAcentral lists this ribosomal RNA (301 nucleotides) under uncultured bacterium. RNAcentral's name for it is "partial 16S ribosomal RNA". It matches the Rfam family "Bacterial small subunit ribosomal RNA", at positions 509 to 807 of the family's 1533-position model. The record is from RNAcentral.
CAGUAGCCGCGGUAAUACGAAGGGGGCUAGCGUUGUUCGGAAUUACUGGGCGUAAAGCGCACGUAGGCGGAUCGAUCAGUCAGGGGUGAAAUCCUGGAGCUCAACUCCAGAACUGCCUUUGAUACUGUCGAUCUCGAGUCCGGAAGAGGUGAGUGGAACUCCUAGUGUAGAGGUGGAAUUCGUAGAUAUUAGGAAGAACACCAGUGGCGAAGGCGGCUCACUGGUCCGGUACUGACGCUGAGGUGCGAAAGCGUGGGGAGCAAACAGGAUUAGAUACCCCAGUAGUCCCUGUCUCUUAUAC